RNAcentral lists this ribosomal RNA (699 nucleotides) under uncultured bacterium. Its description in RNAcentral is "bacterial SSU rRNA". It matches the Rfam family "Bacterial small subunit ribosomal RNA", at positions 8 to 683 of the family's 1533-position model. The record is from RNAcentral.
AGAGUUUGAAUCCUGGCUCAGAACGAACGCUGGCGGCGUGCUUAAGACAUGCAAGUCGAACGGUAAGGCACCUUCGGGUGUACACGAGUGGCGCACGGGUGAGUAACGCGUGGGUAAUCUGCCUUCGGGUUUGGGACAACUCCGGGAAACUGGAGCUAAUACCGAAUAAGACCACGAAGUCUCCGGACUUCGCGGAAAAAGGUGGCCUCUUCUUGAAAGCUAUCGCCUGUAGAUGAGCCCGCGUCCCAUUAGUUUGUUGGUGAGGUAAAAGCUCACCAAGGCAUCGAUGGGUAGCUGGUCUGAGAGGAUGAUCAGCCACACUGGAACUGAGACACGGUCCAGACUCCUACGGGAGGCAGCAGUCGGGAAUCUUGCACAAUGGGCGAAAGCCUGAUGCAGCAACGCCGCGUGAGGGAUGAAGGCCCUCGGGUCGUAAACCUCUGUCGGGAGGGAAGAAAGGAUCUCGAGCCAAUACCUCGGGAUUUUGACGGUACCUCCAAAGGAAGCGCCGGCUAACUCCGUGCCAGCAGCCGCGGUAAUACGGAGGGCGCAAGCGUUGUUCGGAAUCAUUGGGCGUAAAGCGCGUGUAGGCGGCUUGGUAAGUCGGAUGUGAAAGCCCGGGGCUCAACCCCGGAAAUGCAUUCGAAACUGCCUCGCUUGAGUCUCGGAGAGGAGGGCGGAAUUCCCGGUGUAGAGGUG